Molecule: ribosomal RNA, 497 nt
Filed under: uncultured bacterium
Lineage: Bacteria
Description: partial 16S ribosomal RNA
Rfam family: Bacterial small subunit ribosomal RNA
Source: RNAcentral
GAUGAACGCUGGCGGCGUGCCUAAUACAUGCAAGUCGAGCGAACGGACGAGAAGCUUUCUCCUCUGACGUUAGCGGGGGGCGGGUGAGUAACACGUGGAUAAGCUACCUAUAAGACUGAGAUAGCUUCGGGGGACCGUGGCGAAUCAAUGAUACAAUAUAGAAUCGCGUGGUUUCUUAGUAAAAGACGAUAUUGAUGUCACUUGUAGAUGGAUCCGCGCCGCAUUAGCGAGUGUGUAUGGUAACGGCACACCAAGACAACGAUGCGUAGCCGACCUGAGAGGGUGGUCGGCCCCACCGGACCUGUGACACGGUCCAGACUCCUACGGGACGCAGCAGUAGGGAAUCGUCCGCAAGUGGCUAAAGCCUGACGGGGCACCGCCGCGCGAGGUACGAAGGUCCUGGGAUCGUAAAACUCUGUUACUAGUGAAGAACAAAUGUCUAAGUAACGUGGCACGUUUUGACGGUACCGAAUCAGAAAGCAACGGCUAACUACGUG